CUUAAUUCCUACCGAUUACUAUUACCUUAGUCAACUCCUGCAAAAUAGGCUCAUACCCAAAUUAUGUAAAAACAUCUAUCGCAUAUGCCUUCAUCGUUAGCCUCAUCCCAACAACGUUUAUAUGCACAGACCAAGAAGCCAUUAUCUCAAACUGACAUUGAAUGAUGAUCCAGACUCUCAAACUCUUACUAAGCUUCAAACUAGACUACUUCUCCACAAAAUUUAUCCCAGUAGUGCUAUUCAUUACCUGAUCUAUUGUAGAAUUCUCAAUAUGAUAUAUAAAUUCAGACCCUAACAUUAAUCAGUUUUUCAAGUGCUUAUUUUCUUCAUCACGAUAUUAAUUCUGGUUACUGCCAACAACCUCUUUCAGCUCUUUAUCGGAUGGGAAGGUGUAGGAAUCAUGUCUUUCUUACUAAUCAGCUGAUGGUAUGGCAGAGCAGAUGCUAAUACAGCAGGCCUCUAAACAGUCCUGUACAACUGCAUCAGUGAUAUUGGCUUUAUUUUAGCUAUAGCAUUGUUCCUGUCCUCCAACACAUGAGAAUUUUAACAAACAUUUAUUCUAGACCAGAUCCCCAUCUCCUUCCAUUAAUUAGCCUUCUCUUAGCAGCAGCAGAAAAGUCAGCUCAAUUUGGCCUCCAUCUCUGACUUCCAUCUGCAAUAGGAGGCCCAGCCCCAGUCUCAGCCCUACUCCACUCCAGCACUACAGUUGCAGCAGGAGUUUUCUUGCUUAUCCGCUUCUACCCUUUAAUAGAAAAUAACCUAUCAAUCCAAACCUUUAUAUUAUGUCUGGGGGCUAUUACUACCUUAUUCACAGUUAUCUGUGCUCUAACACAAAAUGAUAUCCAAAAAAUCAUAGCAUUCUUCACCUCAAGCCAGCUAGGCCUUAUAAUAGUCACAAUUGGCAUUAAUCAGUCACACCUAGCAUUCCUUCACAUCUGCACCCAUGCCUUUGUUAAAGCUAUAUUAUUUAUAUGUUCAGGGUUCAUCAUCCAUAGCCUCAAUGAUGAACAAGACAUCUGAAAAAUAGGAGGGCUAUUCAAGACUUUGCCCCUCACUUCCUCAUCCUUUAUUAUUGGCAGUCUUGCACUUACAGGCAUGCCUUUCCUUACAAGCUUUUACUCUAAGGCCUCAUCAUUGAAACUGCAAACACGUUCAUACACCAACGCCUGAGCCCUUUCUAUUACUCUUAUUGCCACUUCCUUGACAGCUGUCCGUGAUACCCAUAUUAUUUUCUUCGCUCUUAUAGGACAACCUUGCUUCAUGACUCUGGCUGCUAUUAAUGAAAAUAACCCCUUCCUAAUUAACUCAAUUAAGCGCCUAACAGUUGGCAGCAUAUUCGCCGGAUUCCUCAUCACCAACCGUAUUAUUCCUGCUUCAUCCCCAAAAACAACCAUACCACUCCACCUGAAGCUCACAGCCCUAGGUGUGACCAUCUUAGGCUUCUCACUAGCAAUGGAGCUUAAUCUUGAAACUAAUAACCUUAAACCAAAAUACCCAUUACAGACAUUCAACUUCUCCAACAUACUAGGAUUUUAUUCAUCCACAAUUCACCAUACAAACCCCCACUCAGGCCUAUACACAAGCCAAAAUCUGGCUUCACUUCUACUAGACCUAAUAUGACUAGAAAAGUCUAUACCAAAGACCAUUACACAACCCAAAUUUCAGCCUCCAUUACCAUAUCUACUCAGAACGGCCUAAUUAAACUCUACUUUCUUUUUUUAUCCCAUCCCUUCUAACUCUGCUCCUAAUUAUCUA
This 1755-nucleotide long non-coding RNA is filed under the name Homo sapiens (human). Its description in RNAcentral is "non-protein coding lnc-MAP9-6:1". Lineage: Eukaryota; Metazoa; Chordata; Mammalia; Primates; Hominidae. The record is from RNAcentral.